RNAcentral lists this unclassified non-coding RNA (161 nucleotides) under uncultured Ascomycota. RNAcentral describes it as "sequence contains ITS1". The record is from RNAcentral. Lineage: Eukaryota; Fungi; Ascomycota.
CAGAGUUACUAAACUCCCAAACCCAUGUGAACUUACCUUAUGUUGCCUCGGCGGUUACCUACCCUGUAGCUACCCUGUAGCUACCCGGUAGCGCGGCCGCCGGUGGACCUUCAAACUCUUGUUUUAAUAUGGUCAUUCUGAGUAAUUACUAUAAUAAGUCA